This 117-nucleotide ribosomal RNA is filed under the name Danio rerio (zebrafish). Lineage: Eukaryota; Metazoa; Chordata; Actinopteri; Cypriniformes; Danionidae. The record is from RNAcentral.
ACUGGCAGCUAUAGCGCUUUGCAACUCUCACAUGGUCGCCCACUGAAGCUAAGCAGGGCUGCGCCUGGUCAGUACCUGAAUGGGAGAUCACAUGGGAAAGCUAGGUUGCUGCCGGAA